Molecule: ribosomal RNA, 45 nt
Filed under: Scolecobasidium bacilliforme
Lineage: Eukaryota; Fungi; Ascomycota; Dothideomycetes; Venturiales; Sympoventuriaceae
Description: Ochroconis bacilliformis partial 28S ribosomal RNA
Source: RNAcentral
AGCACCUGGUAACGCAGGGCUCGAGCAACGAUUUUUAGUUUGGCC